Molecule: ribosomal RNA, 454 nt
Filed under: uncultured bacterium
Lineage: Bacteria
Description: bacterial SSU rRNA
Rfam family: Bacterial small subunit ribosomal RNA
Source: RNAcentral
GAUGAACGCUAGCGGAAGGCUUAAUACAUGCAAGUCGAGCGGUAGGUGGCUUCGGCCAUUGAGAGCGGCGCACGGGUGAGUAACGCGUACAUGACCUGCCUGUCAGAAGGGGAUAGCCCUGGGAAACUGGGAUUAAUACCCCUAUGGUAUUGAUAUUAUGAAUGAUAUCAAUUAAAGUUGAGGCGCUGACAGAUAGAUGUGCGUCUGAUUAGCUAGUUGGUAGGUAACGGCCUACCAAGGCGACGAUCAGUAGGGGGCGUGAGAGCGUGGUCCCCCACACGGGUACUGAGACACGGACCCGACUCCUACGGGAGGCAGCAGUAAGGAAUAUUGGUCAAUGCCCGCAAGGGUGAACCAGCCAUUCCGCGUGAGGAUGAAGGCCCUAUGGGUUGUAAACUUCUUUUAGAUGGGGAAGAAAAUGGCUAGAUGUAUCUGGUACUGACGGUACCAUCAG